CCUACGGGCGGCUGCAGUGGGGGAUAUUGGACAAUGGGGGAAACCCUGAUCCAGCGACGCCGCGUGAGUGAAGAAGUAUUUCGGUAUGUAAAGCUCUAUCAGCAGGGAAGAAAGAAAUGACGGUACCUGAGUAAGAAGCCCAGGCUAACUACGUGCCAGCAGCCGCGGUAAUACGUAGGGGGCAAGCGUUAUCCGGAAUUACUGGGUGUAAAGGGUGCGUAGACGGUAAUGCAAGUCUGGGGUGAAAGGCGGGGGCCCACCCCCCGGACUGCUGUGGAAAGUGGGUAACUGGAGUGCAGGAGAGGCAGGCGGAAUUCCUAGUGUAGCGGUGAAAUGCGUAGAUAUUAGGAGGAACACCAGUGGCGAAGGCGGCCUGCUGGACUGUAACUGACGUUGAGGCACGAAAGCGUGGGGAGCAAACAGGAUUAGAUACCCUAGUAGUC
This 443-nucleotide ribosomal RNA is filed under the name uncultured bacterium. RNAcentral's name for it is "partial 16S ribosomal RNA". It matches the Rfam family "Bacterial small subunit ribosomal RNA", at positions 338 to 795 of the family's 1533-position model. The record is from RNAcentral.